GGGCUUCGGGAAGAGGAAAGGU
RNAcentral lists this non-coding RNA (22 nucleotides) under Arabidopsis thaliana (thale cress). The record is from RNAcentral. Lineage: Eukaryota; Viridiplantae; Streptophyta; Magnoliopsida; Brassicales; Brassicaceae.